Molecule: ribosomal RNA, 446 nt
Filed under: uncultured bacterium
Lineage: Bacteria
Description: partial 16S ribosomal RNA
Rfam family: Bacterial small subunit ribosomal RNA
Source: RNAcentral
AACGAACGCUGGCGGCAGGCCUAGUACAUGCAAGUCGAGCGCCCAGCAAUGGGAGCGGCGCACGGGUGCGUAACGCGUGGGAAUAUGCCUUUAGGUACGGAACAACCAAGGGAAACUUUGGCUAAUACCGUAUAAUAUCUUCGGAUCAAAGAAUUUCGCCUAAAGAUUAGCCCGCGUCUGAUUAGCUAGUUGGUGGGGUAAAGGCCUACCAAGGCGACGAUCAGUAGCUGGUCUGAGAGGAUGAUCAGCCACACUGGAACUGAGACACGGUCCAGACUCCUACGGGAGGCAGCAGUAAGGAAUAUUGGACAAUGGGGGCAACCCUGAUCCAGCCAUGUCGCGUGAGUGACGAAGGCCUUAGGGUUGUAAAGCUCUUUUGGUGGGGAAGAUAAUGACUGUACCCACAGAAUAAGCCCCGGCUAAAUUCGUGCCAGCCGCCGCAGUAA